This 492-nucleotide ribosomal RNA is filed under the name uncultured bacterium. RNAcentral's name for it is "partial 16S ribosomal RNA". It matches the Rfam family "Bacterial small subunit ribosomal RNA", at positions 29 to 507 of the family's 1533-position model. The record is from RNAcentral.
AGUGAACGCUGGCGGUAGGCCUAACACAUGCAAGUCGAACGGCAGCACAGUAAGAGCUUGCUCUUACGGGUGGCGAGUGGCGGACGGGUGAGGAAUACAUCGGAAUCUACUUUUUCGUGGGGGAUAACGUAGGGAAACUUACGCUAAUACCGCAUACGACCUACGGGUGAAAGCAGGGGAUCUUCGGACCUUGCGCGAUUGAAUGAGCCGAUGUCGGAUUAGCUAGUUGGCGGGGUAAAGGCCCACCAAGGCGACGAUCCGUAGCUGGUCUGAGAGGAUGAUCAGCCACACUGGAACUGAGACACGGUCCAGACUCCUACGGGAGGCAGCAGCGGGGAAUAUUGGACAAUGGGCGCAAGCCUGAUCCAGCCAUACCGCGUGGGUGAAGAAGGCCUUCGGGUUGUAAAGCCCUGUUGUUGGGAAAGAAAAGCAGCAGGUUAAUACCCCGCUGUUCUGACGGUACCCAAAGAAUAAGCACCGGCUAACUUCGUG